RNAcentral lists this ribosomal RNA (2923 nucleotides) under Staphylococcus aureus. RNAcentral describes it as "23S ribosomal RNA". It matches the Rfam family "Bacterial large subunit ribosomal RNA". The record is from RNAcentral. Lineage: Bacteria; Bacillati; Bacillota; Bacilli; Caryophanales; Staphylococcaceae.
GAUUAAGUUAUUAAGGGCGCACGGUGGAUGCCUUGGCACUAGAAGCCGAUGAAGGACGUUACUAACGACGAUAUGCUUUGGGGAGCUGUAAGUAAGCUUUGAUCCAGAGAUUUCCGAAUGGGGAAACCCAGCAUGAGUUAUGUCAUGUUAUCGAUAUGUGAAUACAUAGCAUAUCAGAAGGCACACCCGGAGAACUGAAACAUCUUAGUACCCGGAGGAAGAGAAAGAAAAUUCGAUUCCCUUAGUAGCGGCGAGCGAAACGGGAAGAGCCCAAACCAACAAGCUUGCUUGUUGGGGUUGUAGGACACUCUAUACGGAGUUACAAAGGACGACAUUAGACGAAUCAUCUGGAAAGAUGAAUCAAAGAAGGUAAUAAUCCUGUAGUCGAAAAUGUUGUCUCUCUUGAGUGGAUCCUGAGUACGACGGAGCACGUGAAAUUCCGUCGGAAUCUGGGAGGACCAUCUCCUAAGGCUAAAUACUCUCUAGUGACCGAUAGUGAACCAGUACCGUGAGGGAAAGGUGAAAAGCACCCCGGAAGGGGAGUGAAAUAGAACCUGAAACCGUGUGCUUACAAGUAGUCAGAGCCCGUUAAUGGGUGAUGGCGUGCCUUUUGUAGAAUGAACCGGCGAGUUACGAUUUGAUGCAAGGUUAAGCAGUAAAUGUGGAGCCGUAGCGAAAGCGAGUCUGAAUAGGGCGUUUAGUAUUUGGUCGUAGACCCGAAACCAGGUGAUCUACCCUUGGUCAGGUUGAAGUUCAGGUAACACUGAAUGGAGGACCGAACCGACUUACGUUGAAAAGUGAGCGGAUGAACUGAGGGUAGCGGAGAAAUUCCAAUCGAACCUGGAGAUAGCUGGUUCUCUCCGAAAUAGCUUUAGGGCUAGCCUCAAGUGAUGAUUAUUGGAGGUAGAGCACUGUUUGGACGAGGGGCCCCUCUCGGGUUACCGAAUUCAGACAAACUCCGAAUGCCAAUUAAUUUAACUUGGGAGUCAGAACAUGGGUGAUAAGGUCCGUGUUCGAAAGGGAAACAGCCCAGACCACCAGCUAAGGUCCCAAAAUAUAUGUUAAGUGGAAAAGGAUGUGGCGUUGCCCAGACAACUAGGAUGUUGGCUUAGAAGCAGCCAUCAUUUAAAGAGUGCGUAAUAGCUCACUAGUCGAGUGACACUGCGCCGAAAAUGUACCGGGGCUAAACAUAUUACCGAAGCUGUGGAUUGUCCUUUGGACAAUGGUAGGAGAGCGUUCUAAGGGCGUUGAAGCAUGAUCGUAAGGACAUGUGGAGCGCUUAGAAGUGAGAAUGCCGGUGUGAGUAGCGAAAGACGGGUGAGAAUCCCGUCCACCGAUUGACUAAGGUUUCCAGAGGAAGGCUCGUCCGCUCUGGGUUAGUCGGGUCCUAAGCUGAGGCCGACAGGCGUAGGCGAUGGAUAACAGGUUGAUAUUCCUGUACCACCUAUAAUCGUUUUAAUCGAUGGGGGGACGCAGUAGGAUAGGCGAAGCGUGCGAUUGGAUUGCACGUCUAAGCAGUAAGGCUGAGUAUUAGGCAAAUCCGGUACUCGUUAAGGCUGAGCUGUGAUGGGGAGAAGACAUUGAGUCUUCGAGUCGUUGAUUUCACACUGCCGAGAAAAGCCUCUAGAUAGAAAAUAGGUGCCCGUACCGCAAACCGACACAGGUAGUCAAGAUGAGAAUUCUAAGGUGAGCGAGCGAACUCUCGUUAAGGAACUCGGCAAAAUGACCCCGUAACUUCGGGAGAAGGGGUGCUCUUUAGGGUUAACGCCCAGAAGAGCCGCAGUGAAUAGGCCCAAGCGACUGUUUAUCAAAAACACAGGUCUCUGCUAAACCGUAAGGUGAUGUAUAGGGGCUGACGCCUGCCCGGUGCUGGAAGGUUAAGAGGAGUGGUUAGCUUCUGCGAAGCUACGAAUCGAAGCCCCAGUAAACGGCGGCCGUAACUAUAACGGUCCUAAGGUAGCGAAAUUCCUUGUCGGGUAAGUUCCGACCCGCACGAAAGGCGUAACGAUUUGGGCACUGUCUCAACGAGAGACUCGGUGAAAUCAUAGUACCUGUGAAGAUGCAGGUUACCCGCGACAGGACGGAAAGACCCCGUGGAGCUUUACUGUAGCCUGAUAUUGAAAUUCGGCACAGCUUGUACAGGAUAGGUAGGAGCCUUUGAAACGUGAGCGCUAGCUUACGUGGAGGCGCUGGUGGGAUACUACCCUAGCUGUGUUGGCUUUCUAACCCGCACCACUUAUCGUGGUGGGAGACAGUGUCAGGCGGGCAGUUUGACUGGGGCGGUCGCCUCCUAAAAGGUAACGGAGGCGCUCAAAGGUUCCCUCAGAAUGGUUGGAAAUCAUUCAUAGAGUGUAAAGGCAUAAGGGAGCUUGACUGCGAGACCUACAAGUCGAGCAGGGUCGAAAGACGGACUUAGUGAUCCGGUGGUUCCGCAUGGAAGGGCCAUCGCUCAACGGAUAAAAGCUACCCCGGGGAUAACAGGCUUAUCUCCCCCAAGAGUUCACAUCGACGGGGAGGUUUGGCACCUCGAUGUCGGCUCAUCGCAUCCUGGGGCUGUAGUCGGUCCCAAGGGUUGGGCUGUUCGCCCAUUAAAGCGGUACGCGAGCUGGGUUCAGAACGUCGUGAGACAGUUCGGUCCCUAUCCGUCGUGGGCGUAGGAAAUUUGAGAGGAGCUGUCCUUAGUACGAGAGGACCGGGAUGGACAUACCUCUGGUGUACCAGUUGUCGUGCCAACGGCAUAGCUGGGUAGCUAUGUAUGGACGGGAUAAGUGCUGAAAGCAUCUAAGCAUGAAGCCCCCCUCAAGAUGAGAUUUCCCAACUUCGGUUAUAAGAUCCCUCAAAGAUGAUGAGGUUAAUAGGUUCGAGGUGGAAGCAUGGUGACAUGUGGAGCUGACGAAUACUAAUCGAUCGAAGACUUAAUCAA